Molecule: ribosomal RNA, 465 nt
Filed under: uncultured bacterium
Lineage: Bacteria
Description: partial 16S ribosomal RNA
Rfam family: Bacterial small subunit ribosomal RNA
Source: RNAcentral
GACGAACGCUGGCGGCGUGCUUAACACAUGCAAGUCGAACGGAAAGGCCCCCUUGUGGGGUACUCGAGUGGCGAACGGGUGAGUAACACGUGAGUAACCUACCCUUUACUUUGGGAUAACUUCAGGAAACUGGGGCUAAUACCGGAUAGGAGCUCCUGCUGCAUGGUGGGGGUUGGAAAGUUUCGGCGGUUGGGGAUGGACUCGCGGCUUAUCAGCUUGUUGGUGGGGUAGUGGCUCACCAAGGCUUUGACGGGUAGCCGGCCUGAGGGGGUGACCGGCCACAUUGGGACUGAGAUACGGCCCAGACUCCUACGGGAGGCAGCAGUGGGGAAUAUUGCACAAUGGGCGGAAGCCUGAUGCAGCAACGCCGCGUGCGGGAUGACGGCCUUCGGGUUGUAAACCGCUUUCGCCUGUGACGAAGCGUGAGUGACGGUAAUGGGUAAAGAAGCACCGGCUAACUACGUG